Molecule: ribosomal RNA, 253 nt
Filed under: uncultured bacterium
Lineage: Bacteria
Description: partial 16S ribosomal RNA
Rfam family: Bacterial small subunit ribosomal RNA
Source: RNAcentral
UACGAAGGGGGCUAGCGUUGCUCGGAAUCACUGGGCGUAAAGCGCACGUAGGCGGCUUUUUAAGUCAGGGGUGAAAUCCUGGAGCUCAACUCCAGAACUGCCUUUGAUACUGAGGAUCUUGAGUUCGGGAGAGGUGAGUGGAACUGCGAGUGUAGAGGUGAAAUUCGUAGAUAUUCGCAAGAACACCAGUGGCGAAGGCGGCUCACUGGCACGAUACUGACGCUGAGGCACGAAAGCGUGGGGAGCAAACAGG